GAUGAACGCUGGCGGCGUGCCUAAUACAUGCAAGUUGAGCGAACGGACGAGAAGCUUGCUUUUCUGAUGUUAGCGGCGGACGGGUGAGUAACACGUGGAUAACCUACCUAUAAGACUGGGAUAACUUCGGGAAACCGGAGCUAAUACCGGAUAAUAUUUUGAACCGCAUGGUUCAAAAGUGAAAGACGGUCUUGCUGUCACUUAUAGAUGGAUCCGCGCUGCAUUAGCUAGUUGGUAAGGUAACGGCUUACCAAGGCAACGAUGCAUAGCCGACCUGAGAGGGUGAUCGGCCACACUGGAACUGAGACACGGUCCAGACUCCUACGGGAGGCAGCAGUAGGGAAUCUUCCACAAUGGGCGAAAGCCUGACGGAGCAACGCCGCGUGAGUGAUGAAGGUCUUCGGAUCGUAAAACUCUGUUAUUAGGGAAGAACAUAUGUGUAAGUAACUGUGCACAUCUUGACGGUACCUAAUCAGAAAGCCACGGCUAACUACGUG
This 497-nucleotide ribosomal RNA is filed under the name uncultured bacterium. RNAcentral's name for it is "partial 16S ribosomal RNA". It matches the Rfam family "Bacterial small subunit ribosomal RNA", at positions 28 to 507 of the family's 1533-position model. The record is from RNAcentral.